AGUGAACGCUGGCGGUAGGCCUAACACAUGCAAGUCGAACGGCAGCACAGUAAGAGCUUGCUCUUACGGGUGGCGAGUGGUGGACGGGUGAGGAAUACAUCGGAAUCUACUUUUUCGUGGGGGAUAACGUAGGGAAACUCACGCUAAUACCGCUUACGACCUACGGGUGAAAGCAGGCGCUCUUCGGACCUUGCGCGACUGAAUGAGCCGAGGUCGGAUUAGCUAGGUGGCGGGGUAAAGGCCCACUAAGGCGACGACCCGUAGCGGGUCUGAGAGGAUGAUCAGCCACACUGGAACUGAGACACGGUCCAGACUCCUACGGGAGGCAGCAGUGGGGAAUAUUGGACAAUGGGCGAAAGCCUGAUCCAGCAAUACCGCGUGGGUGAAGAAGGCCUUCGGGUUGUAAAGCCCUUUUGUUGGGCAAGAAAAGCAGCAGGAUAAUACCCCGAUGUUCUGACGGUACCCAAAGAAUAAGCACCGGCUAACUUCGUG
RNAcentral lists this ribosomal RNA (492 nucleotides) under uncultured bacterium. RNAcentral's name for it is "partial 16S ribosomal RNA". It matches the Rfam family "Bacterial small subunit ribosomal RNA", at positions 29 to 507 of the family's 1533-position model. The record is from RNAcentral.